GAGGCAGUAAGGUGCGGUGCUUGGAGGAUUCUAUCACAUAUACAAGGGAGGCAGUAAGGUGCGGUGCCUGGAGGAUUCUGUCACAUAUACACAGGGAGGCAGUAAGGCGCGGUGCUUGGAGAUUCUAUCACAUAUACAAGGGAGGCAGUAAGGUGCGGUGCUUGGAGGAUUCUAUCACAUACACAAGGGAGGCAGUAAGGUGCGGUGCUUGGAGGAUUCUGUCACAUACACCAGGGAGGCAGUAAGGCGCGGUGCUUGGAGGAUUCUAUCACAUAUACACAAGGGAGGCAGUAAGGCGCGGUGCUUGGAGGAUUCUGUCACAUACACAAGGGAGGCAGUAAGGUGCGGUGCUUGCAGGAUUCUAUCACAUAUACAAGGGAGGCAGUAAGGCGCGGUGCUUAGAGGAUUCUAUCACAUACACCAGGGAGGCAGUAAGGUGCGGUGCUUGGAGCCUCUAGAACCAGACUGCUCAGCUCUGAC
Molecule: long non-coding RNA, 480 nt
Filed under: Pan troglodytes (chimpanzee)
Lineage: Eukaryota; Metazoa; Chordata; Mammalia; Primates; Hominidae
Description: long non-coding RNA NONPTRT012831
Source: RNAcentral